AUCCAUUGCUAGUAGCAAGCCCACCAAUUACUACUAUCUUUUCUAAUUCUUCGUAAGCCUCUAUUGAAUAUAUUUCUAUUAUAGCAUUUUGAUCUAUACUUAUAGCUAAAUUUUCAAGAACCUUUAUCAAAUCAUCUUCCAAACCUAUUUCUUCUUUUACUCCAACUAUGGCUUCAUCACUUGAAACUAAACCCAUUCUUUUUAAGUUUUUUUUUUAUUUCUUCACCCUUCUUCUAUGUAUAAAAUCUUAAUCUUUAAUCUUUUGAGUACUCACAAAUCUAUUACUAGUCAAGUUUAAAAAAUCAAAACUCAUAUUAUCUACAA
This 324-nucleotide long non-coding RNA is filed under the name Physcomitrium patens. Its description in RNAcentral is "long non-coding RNA (PPAT_LNC010473)". The record is from RNAcentral. Lineage: Eukaryota; Viridiplantae; Streptophyta; Bryopsida; Funariales; Funariaceae.